Molecule: ribosomal RNA, 528 nt
Filed under: uncultured bacterium
Lineage: Bacteria
Description: bacterial SSU rRNA
Rfam family: Bacterial small subunit ribosomal RNA
Source: RNAcentral
AAUAGAUACCCGGGUAGUCCACGCCGUAAACGAUGAGUGCUAAGUGUUAGGGGGUUUCCACCCCUUAGUGCUGCAGCUAACGCAUUAAGCACUCCGCCUGGGGAGUACGGUCGCAAGACUGAAACUCAAAGGAAUUGACGGGGGCCCGCACAAGCGGUGGAGCAUGUGGUUUAAUUCGAAGCAACGCGAAGAACCUUACCAGGUCUUGACAUCCCGCUGACCGCUAUGGAGACAUAGCCUUCCCUUCGGGGACAGCGGUGACAGGUGGUGCAUGGUUGUCGUCAGCUCGUGUCGUGAGAUGUUGGGUUAAGUCCCGCAACGAGCGCAACCCUUGUCCUUAGUUGCCAUCAUUCAGUUGGGCACUCUAAGGAGACUGCCGUACAAAUACGGAGGAAGGUGGGGAUGACGUCAAAUCAUCAUGCCCCUUAUGACCUGGGCUACACACGUGCUACAAUGGACGGUACAAACGGUCGCGAAGUCGCGAGACGGAGCCAAUCCGAAAAAACCGUUCUCAGUUCGGAUUGCAGG